Molecule: long non-coding RNA, 1811 nt
Organism: Colletes gigas
Lineage: Eukaryota; Metazoa; Arthropoda; Insecta; Hymenoptera; Colletidae
Exons: 3
Source: RefSeq, a predicted model, not a curated record
GACACCACUCGAUUUCGUCUCCGUUCCUCUUUCUACGGGGCUCCCGUUCGUGAAAUAACACUCCGCCCCCGAAGCCCAGACACAGCGAGAGAUUUGUCUUGGACGGCACCGGGGGACUCGAGAUUUAAGAAGAUCCAGAGAGAAGCUCGCGGGAAAUAGGCGCACAAUGCGUUCCACUGUGCGUCCCUGGCUUCGAUCAGAAACACCGUUUCACCAAUGGCGGGUCCCGCGCGGAGGACCCACGGACGCCUGGCGGUGAAUCAACGAACAAGAAUCCGAUAGGGGACGGAAAGAGGCUGCGGUUUGAAGAAUCUGUACGUACGCCCACGCACGUUUCGAACGAAUCCUCGUUGCGACGAUCAACGCGGUCGUUGGACCAGCCACGGGGAACCGUCCGCCAUUGGAACACUUCAUGGAACCCCAUGGAUCCCUUACAAGGCCUCACACUUUGUCAUCCAUCGCCACGAAACUUAGAGAUGCGCUCGCGCCGAUAGCUACUGGCGAUUCGCUCGUUUAACAGCGUAACGGCGAGCCAGCAGGAAUCAGGGCCGGUGAGUGGCAUCGUGGAAGGAGAACACAGUGCACCGGGGGAACAGAGAGAGAGAGAGGAAGAUAAAAACGUGCCUGGACCCCAGAAGGGUGCUAGAAAGUGGGUACAGUCAACGAGGAGAAUAUAGAAAACGAGCGUUGCUACUUUUUUUAUUUUUUUUUUUCUUCUUUUCAGUUUUAUCGUGUUCGCGGACCCUGUUCUCGAUUUGUAUCCAGAUUUUAAUCCUGAACGAUUCUGGGAACGAUCGGAAGAGUGGAUAUGAUAAUUUAGAUUUAGCGGAACGUGGUGGAAUCUUACAGAUUUUAAUAUAAGUGGUGGAUGCUAGAAUGUGCACGGAAAAGGAGAACUUUGUAGGUUAUGUGCGUUCACGGGUAGCCGUAUUAGCAACCUGGCGAGUGAUAUUUUGAGAUGAGUUCGUCUUUAUUGUGAGUGGAAUGAUGCAACCCGGUUCAGACUUCGGACUCGUAUCGAUACGCGUUAGGUUAGGUUUGCAAUCCUGCGGGAGUAAUUAGAUAAGCAUAACCUUGAAUGUUCUUGCUCUUUUAUGAACUGAGAGCUCGUAAGGAGAGUUAAGAAUUAAACGAAUCCGCGAUUUUCCAUAAUACCUUCGCGAAAUGUUCGGAAUGGAACAGGUGCAGUAAUUACAUAUGCAAUUUACAUUCAACGAACGAUUUACCGUACAACCCUGCGAGAAACUAAUUCACCCUUCUGUUUAAUUCCCAUGAAUCAUUCGACGAGGCUAUAAGCGUACAAAACGCACGGUAGCUCCUGUGUUUCUUCCAUGCCCGUCCGCCAGAGGUCUCCGGAAACCCGAUCCUCUAAUUAUUUCGAGCAGUGGUAUAAUAGAUGCGUAAUUGGAAGCGCAGUGCUCGUAGUUGUUCGGCUGAAAAAUCGCGGGUUUUUCGUUGGACGGUUCGCCGGGUGAUUUAAUGAAGUGGAAACGAAAGAAGCACGAGUGUCAUAAUAAAGGAAGACGGGAUCAGGAAUAGAAGGGGGGGACAAAAACAUGUCCAGGUCCUACGGAGGUGCUAGGCGGCGAGUACAGUCGCGAAAGAGAAUAUAAUCUCCGAUCGCCAUACUCUGCCCGGCGGCAGUCGUCUGACAAACGGAAGCUGUUAGGUCCUUUCGCGAACGCUUGUCUUUCAGGCGUGUCGUCCUGGCAAAAAACUGGAAAAUGCUAACGCCGGUGGCUGUCGUGUGACCUGCUGGCGGGGCACGCCUUUUUUAGAAAUUAUUUCCCCAUACACUGCAUAACAAUGGC